GCAGUCGAGCGAGCUUGCCUAGAUGAAUUUGGUGCUUGCCCAGAUGAAACUAGAUACAAGCGAGCGGCGGACGGGUGAGUAACACGUGGGUAACCUGCCCAAGAGACUGGGAUAACACCUGGAAACAGAUGCUAAUACCGGAUAACAACACUAGACGCAUGUCUAGAGUUUAAAAGAUGGUUCUGCUAUCACUCUUGGAUGGACCUGCGGUGCAUUAGCUAGUUGGUAAGGUAACGGCUUACCAAGGCAAUGAUGCAUAGCCGAGUUGAGAGACUGAUCGGCCACAUUGGGACUGAGACACGGCCCAAACUCCUACGGGAGGCAGCAGUAGGGAAUCUUCCACAACGGACGCAAGUCUGAUGGAGCAACGCCGCGUGAGUGAAGAAGGGUUUCGGCUCGUAAAGCUCUGUUGGUAGUGAAGAAAGAUAGAGGUAGUAACUGGCCUUUAUUUGACGGUAAUUACUUAGAAAGUCACGGCUAACUACGUGCCAGCAGCCGCGGUAAUACGUAGGUGGCAAGCGUUGUCCGGAUUUAUUGGGCGUAAAGCGAGUGCAGGCGGUUCAAUAAGUCUGAUGUGAAAGCCUUCGGCUCAACCGGAGAAUUGCAUCAGAAACUGUUGAACUUGAGUGCAGAAGAGGAGAGUGGAACUCCAUGUGUAGCGGUGGAAUGCGUAGAUAUAUGGAAGAACACCAGUGGCGAAGGCGGCUCUCUGGUCUGCAACUGACGCUGAGGCUCGAAAGCAUGGGUAGCGAACAGGAUUAGAUACCCUGGUAGUCCAUGCCGUANACGAUGAGUGCUAAGUGUUGGGAGGUUUCCGCCUCUC
This 823-nucleotide ribosomal RNA is filed under the name uncultured bacterium. RNAcentral's name for it is "bacterial SSU rRNA". It matches the Rfam family "Bacterial small subunit ribosomal RNA", at positions 57 to 841 of the family's 1533-position model. The record is from RNAcentral.